CCCAAAUUCAGUAUCUCAGAAGAUUAGAAUAUUACUUAAGACCAAUACAAAGAAAGGAUUUUUAUAAAUCUUGGCCAACUGAAAAGUAUGAACAUGAAAAAUAUGAGCAUGUACAGCACUCAAUACUUAGUUGGGGCUCCUUUUGCCUGAAUUACUGCAGCAAUGCGGCGUGGGAUUGAGUCUGUGGCACUGCUCAGGUGUUAUGAGAGCCCAGGUUGCUCUGAUAAUGGCCUUCAGCUCUUCUGCAUUCUUGGGUCUGGCAUAUCGCAUCUUCCUCUUCACAAUACCCCAUAGAUUUUCUAUGGGGUUAAGGUCAGGCGAGUUUGAUGGCAAAUUAAGAACAGGGAUACCAUGGUCCUUAAACCAGGUACUGGUAGCUUUGGCACUGUGUGCAGGUGCCAAGUCCUGUUGGAAAAUGAAAUCUGCAUCUCCAUAAAGUUGGUCAGCAGCAGGAAGCAUGAAGUGCUCUAAAACUUCCUGGUAUACGGCUGCGUUGACCUUGGACCUCAGAAAACACAGUGGACCAACACCAGCAGAUGACAUGGCACCCCAAACCAUCACUGACUGUGGAAACUUUACACUGGACCUCAAGCAACGUGGAUUAUGUGCCUCUUCUCUCUUCCUCCAGACUCUGGGUCCCUGAUUUCCAAAGGAAAUGCAAAAUUUACUUUAAUCAGAGAACAUAACUUUGGACCACUCAGCAGCAGUCCAGUCCUUUUUGUCUUUAGCCCAGGCAAGACGCUUCUGACGCUGGCUGUUGUUCAAGAGUGGCUUGACACAAGGAAUGCGACAGCUGAAACCCAUGUCUUGCAUAUGUCUGUGCGUAGUGGUUCUUGAAGCACUGACUCCAGCUGCAGUCCACUCUUUGUGAAUCUCCCCUACAUUUUGAUUGUGUUUUGUUUCAUAAUCCUCUCCAGGGUGCAGUUAUCCCUAUUGCUUGUACACUUUUUUCUACCACAUCUUUUCCUUCCCUUCGCCUCUCUAUUUAUGUGCUUGGACACAGAGCUCUGUGAACAGCCAGCCUCUUUUGCAAUGACCUUUUGUGUCUUGCCCUCCUUGUGCAAGGUGUCAAUGGUCGUCUUUUAGACAACUGUCAAGUCAGCAGUCUUCCCCGUGAUUGUGUAGCCUACAGAACUAGACUGAGAGACCAUUUAAAGGCCUUUGCAGGUGAUUCACCUUCACUGCGCAGCAUGGGCGGAGUCUCGUACCUGUGCUCGUGAGUGCUGUCCGCCAUGUUUGUGUGGUUUCGAUGUAAAGAAAACAAUGGAUUAUUUACCAAGAGAUAUGGAUGUAUGGAGUCAUUUCGACAAAACACUUCUGAGAAAACUGACGAGCAACACUACAGUCCGGCAAACAAACAUAUGAGGAAGAGGAGGAUGAUGGCGGUCCAGCAUUUACAAAGAGAAAGUAACUGCGGGGAAUAUUAACUGAAGAGACCUUAUCAACAGCAGGCUUUGGAUCUACUGAAUAUGUAUUUUUCAAGCAUUUUAUUGCAGGGUUCACUGUUAUUUUUUUGCAUAGCGAUGACUGAACUCAAACGAAGAUACUUUGAAGAAUGCUGGUAAUCAAACCCAACAAGUUUGUCAGGUGCAGAAAUGAAAGCUCCCAAACAAAGAUGUCACUGGAUUAAGAAGUGGAAAGACAUGUUACACCACUGCAACCAUAAAUCCUGAGCGAUUUGAAAGGGGGCAACAACCAUGAAAAAGUAUGCAUUGUUUGACUCAAAAAUGAUUCAUGGUAAUAGUUGUAAAUGAUUAGAUAAAGUACAAAAUGUGUUUAAUUUUAAAACUCUGCCAUUUACAGUACUAAUGUGUUGUUCAAAUACUAAGUUUUGGUGUCUCUUUACAAUAAGGUAUAUCUUUAGUUAACAUUAGUAAAUGUUGAAAUUUACAUUAAAUAACAAUGAGCAAUACAUUUGUUACAAUAUACAUUACUAUUUCAUGCUGUUAAAAAACAACAACUGUUCUUUGUUAGUUCAUGUUAGCUCUGAUCCAUUAAAUAAUGUCAACAGGCACACUUUUGUUCUUAAUGUAUUAGUAAAUGUUGAAAAUAACUAGGUUAAUAUAUUAACUACAGUUAACUAAGGUUAAUGUUAAGUAUUUGGCAUGUUAGUCCAUGUUGGGUAGGUAACUAAUGUUAACAAAUGAAACCUUAUUGUAAAUUGUAAAGUGUCACCUGAGUGUUUUUUGUUUAUACUUGUUAAAUUUUAGUUUUCAAGAAUAAAUAACCUAAAUGUAAGGGUAAUUUCGCUAAAUGUUAUGCUUUAUAUAUAUAUAUAUAUA
Molecule: long non-coding RNA, 2282 nt
Organism: Cyprinus carpio carpio
Lineage: Eukaryota; Metazoa; Chordata; Actinopteri; Cypriniformes; Cyprinidae
Source: Ensembl